Molecule: ribosomal RNA, 550 nt
Filed under: uncultured bacterium
Lineage: Bacteria
Description: bacterial SSU rRNA
Rfam family: Bacterial small subunit ribosomal RNA
Source: RNAcentral
UGGGGAAUCUUCCGCAAUGGACGAAAGUCUGACGGAGCAACGCCGCGUGAGUGAUGAAGGUCUUCGGAUUGUAAAGCUCUGUUAAUCGGGACGAAAGAGUUCUGUGUAAAUAAUGCAGAAAAGUGACGGUACCGGAAUAGAAAGCCACGGCUAACUACGUGCCAGCAGCCGCGGUAAUACGUAGGUGGCAAGCGUUGUCCGGAAUUAUUGGGCGUAAAGCGCGCGCAGGCGGCCUAUCCAGUCUGUCUUAAAAGUUCGGGGCUCAACCCCGUGAUGGGAUGGAAACUAGUAGGCUAGAGUAUCGGAGAGGAAAGCGGAAUUCCUAGUGUAGCGGUGAAAUGCGUAGAUAUUAGGAAGAACACCAGUGGCGAAGGCGGCUUUCUGGACGAAAACUGACGCUGAGGCGCGAAAGCCAGGGGAGCGAACGGGAUUAGAUACCCCGGUAGUCCUGGCCGUAAACGAUGGGUACUAGGUGUAGGAGGUAUCGACCCCUUCUGUGCCGGAGUUAACGCAAUAAGUACCCCGCCUGGGGAGUACGGUCGCAAGGCUG